CCCUUAGACGUUCUGGGCCGCACGCGCGCUACACUGACGAAGGCAGCGAGCUUUCCUUUACCGAAAGGUACGGGUAAUCUUUUGAAACUUCGUCGUGCUGGGGAUAGAUCCUUGCAAUUUUUGAUCUUAAACGAGGAAUGCCUAGUAAGCGCAAGUCAUCAACUUGCGUUGAUUACGUCCCUGCCCUUUGUACACACCGCCCGUCGCUACUACCGAUUGAAUGGUUUAGUGAGGCCUUCGGAUCCGCGACUCGUUUGUGGAGAAGUUGGACAAACUCAGUCAUUUAGAGGAAGUAAAAGUCGUAACA
Molecule: ribosomal RNA, 307 nt
Filed under: uncultured eukaryote
Lineage: Eukaryota
Description: partial 18S ribosomal RNA
Rfam family: Eukaryotic small subunit ribosomal RNA
Source: RNAcentral